RNAcentral lists this ribosomal RNA (253 nucleotides) under uncultured bacterium. Its description in RNAcentral is "partial 16S ribosomal RNA". It matches the Rfam family "Bacterial small subunit ribosomal RNA", at positions 524 to 776 of the family's 1533-position model. The record is from RNAcentral.
UACGAAGGGGGCGAGCGUUGUUCGGAAUCACUGGGCGUAAAGGGCGCGUAGGCGGCCCUCUUAGUCGCGUGUGAAAGCCCCGGGCUCAACCUGGGAACGGCGCGCGAAACGGGAGGGCUGGAGUUCGGGAGAGGAGAGUGGAAUUCCCAGUGUAGAGGUGAAAUUCGUAGAUAUUGGGAAGAACCCCGGUGGCGAAGGCGGCUCUCUGGACCGAGACUGACGCUGAGGCGCGAAAGCGUGGGGAGCAAACAGG